This 506-nucleotide ribosomal RNA is filed under the name uncultured bacterium. Its description in RNAcentral is "partial 16S ribosomal RNA". It matches the Rfam family "Bacterial small subunit ribosomal RNA", at positions 29 to 523 of the family's 1533-position model. The record is from RNAcentral.
AGUGAACGCUGGCGGUAGGCCUAACACAUGCAAGUCGAACGGCAGCACAGAGGAGCUUGCUCCUUGGGUGGCGAGUGGCGGACGGGUGAGGGAUACAUCGGAAUCUACUCUGUCGUGGGGGAUAACGUAGGGAAACUUACGCUAAUACCGCAUACGACCUACGGGUGAAAGCAGGGGACCUUCGGGCCUUGCGCGAUUGAAUGAGCCGAUGUCGGAUUAGCUAGUUGGCGGGGUAAAGGCCCACCAAGGCGACGAUCCGUAGCUGGUCUGAGAGGAUGAUCAGCCACACUGGAACUGAGACACGGUCCAGACUCCUACGGGAGGCAGCAGUGGGGAAUAUUGGACAAUGGGCGCAAGCCUGAUCCAGCCAUACCGCGUGGGUGAAGAAGGCCUUCGGGUUGUAAAGCCCUUUUGUUGGGAAAGAAAUCCAGCUGGCUAAUACCCGGUUGGGAUGACGGUACCCAAAGAAUAAGCACCGGCUAACUUCGUGCCAGCAGCCGCUGUAA